CUUCGAAAGCUUUAUCUGUAAUCGAAAGACAAAUCAUAAACUUCAGGGAUUGCAUAAACCAGGUUAAUAUCAUCUGGGGUUGAAUUUUACAGGCAAUCAUGUCAGUCACAGCCGGUGUCAGUGAUAUUGCUCUAGCUGUCAGGGACAAGCUUAGAGGUAAAAUUGGGCAAACUAAAGUUAAAAGGUAUUGGCCUGGCAAAGCACCCGAGUGGGCUGAUGAUGCUGAUGAAGAUGGGGAUAUCAAAAUGGCUAGGGCAGAUGCCCUGGAGAAAGCUUUUCCUACUCAGGAAGAUUCAGAUUUUGCUAGGAAAGAUGAUCCUAGACUGCGUCGUCUGGCUGAGAGCAGGAUUGAUAACCGUGACGAAGUGAGAGCUGAUCACCGGCGCAUCCGGCAAGCUGAAAUUAUUGCAACAGAAGAGGAGGAAACCCGGAGACAAGAAUGGGCAGAUAUGGAGGAAGAGAAUGAGGAAGCCUUGGAGGAAAGAAGAAGAAGAAUUAAGGAGAAGUCACGUCUGAGAGAGCAAGAAGAAGCUGCACUUCCGGCUGAAGAAGAGGAGGAAGAAGCGGAAGAAGAGGAGGAAGAGGAAUCUGAAUAUGAAACUGACUCUGAAGAAGAAACAAUGGGUUUGGCCAUGGUCAAGCCAAUCUUUGUGCCAAAGUCUGAGAGAGAAACCAUAGCUGAGCGUGAGCGGCUUGAGGCUGAAGAACGAGCUAUUGAGGAAAAGGAAAGGAGGGAAUUGGAGGAAAGGA
This 750-nucleotide unclassified non-coding RNA is filed under the name Hevea brasiliensis (rubber tree). The record is from RNAcentral. Lineage: Eukaryota; Viridiplantae; Streptophyta; Magnoliopsida; Malpighiales; Euphorbiaceae.